CUCGGGCCAUGGGCAGAGCCGUGGACAUGGACCGCGGUCAAAGUGAACGCAUCCCUGGGCCCUGGGUUCAUGGGCGCGCAGGCAGUGGUUCUCACGCUCCGCUUCCUUGGGGUCACCCAGGCGCCCUCACUGUCUGGGAUUCUCAGCAGCAAAGUCCCCAGGAGGGCGGGGCAGGGUCGUGUCGUGGCCCUCGCAGCACAAGCAUCUGGGAACUCAGCCCCCGCGCACGUCCCUGGGUGGGGCCCAGCGGUCGUGCAUGAGUGCUCACCGUUUACCUCUGCGGCUUCCAGAGACACACUGCGCUCUCUAAACACGCGAGGGUGGAAUCCAACACCAGUGGCCCGGCCUUCCAGGCUUUCCUCCCCCACUGGCCAGACUUUCUGUGUCCAUACCGUUCCGGUAGGGUCUUCCAGCAGCCACACCAGCAGCAGGGGCAGGCCGCUGGCUGACCAGCCAAGGCAGAGCCCUUCCCCACGGUGACAUCGAGGUCGAUGCAAAAGGAUUCUUCUGUACAGACUGUAGGCACCCAAGACGACCCUGGACAGACCAGCCGAGCGGGAUGUGCCGUCUGCACAGGCUCGCAAGGCCCUGCAACACCGCUGCGUUGACCGCACGUCCACCUCAGUCGUGGCACCAAGGUCACGCCCCACAAAUCCCGUAAUAGACUGGAGCCCAGCCCAAAGGGUGACGGAGGGAAGCACUCUACAGCCAGUCUUUCCCCCCAGAUUCCAACUCGGGCGGCCCGCUGCCCCAGCCCUACCUCGGCCGCCGGGCUGGCCCCUUCCUCUGCCAGAACCCAGUGUGUCACUGCAGCGCACCCCAUGGUGCCAGAAUCUCAGGCUGCUGGCUAUAGGACUGGGCGCAGGAGUGCUUGGCCUGGGCCUCAUUCCCGGCCGGGAAGAGCAGGGUCCGUGGCAGGGGGCGCAUGAGCCCACGGGAGGACCGGCCCCUCGUGCUGUGGGAAGGACAACGACCCGCUCUGCCCCCACUGAGGCCUGUGGGCUGACCACCCUGGCAGCACAGAGCUGAAUGAGGCCUCUGCCCAGACAGUGUGGACGGCCGGCCAGGAGUGAAGGGGGUUCCCCCGACAAUCUACCGAACGCCUGGGUCAAGCCCACUUCUCCAGCCCUCGGCUGUGUCCUGGGGACCCUGGGAUGUCGCUCAACAAGUUAGCAGUUUUCACGAGUCACAGAGCGUUUCCAGUAGGAUGUUGAUCACAGCACAGAAUUCAGAGAACCUCCCUCCACUGUUCCCACUGAUCCAUCUACACGAAUGCUGAGAAUUAGACGGCAAGGAGAGGCCGCCCCAGAGCAUGAACGUGGGGACCCAGGGACGGCGACCUGGCUUGCCCUGCCAGUUGGAAAGACAGAGGGGAUGAGGCCACAUUCUGCCGCCCUGCAGACCCCUGGUCCAGGCUGGUGAGUCCAAGAGCUGAUGGAUGCCCUCUGAGGAGAGGCCUUGCAUGAUGGACUAGUGGACACCUUGUUUUCCAAGCUGCCAGUCCAGCCUCUCCUUGCUGAGCUCAGCAGUGAGUACACCCUGAAAUCUGGGAGUCGGGGACCCACAGUGAGGGCCCCAUCCCAGAGCACCUCUC
This 1594-nucleotide long non-coding RNA is filed under the name Equus caballus (horse). RNAcentral's name for it is "lncRNA (ENSECAG00000051492.1)". Lineage: Eukaryota; Metazoa; Chordata; Mammalia; Perissodactyla; Equidae. The record is from RNAcentral.